UACGAACUGUGUGAACGUUAUUCGGAAUCACUGGGCUUACAGGGUGCGUAGGCGGCUUAGCAAGUCAGGUGUGAAAUCCCCAGGCUCAACCUGGGAACUGCGUCUGAUACUGGAUGGCUUGAAUCCAGGAGAGGGAUGCAGAAUCCCAGGUGUAGCGGUGAAAUGCGUAGAUAUCUGGAGGAAUACCGGUGGCGAAGGCGGCAUCCUGGACCGGCAUUGACGCUGAGGAGCGAAAGCCAGGGGAGCAAACGGG
RNAcentral lists this ribosomal RNA (253 nucleotides) under uncultured bacterium. RNAcentral's name for it is "partial 16S ribosomal RNA". It matches the Rfam family "Bacterial small subunit ribosomal RNA", at positions 524 to 776 of the family's 1533-position model. The record is from RNAcentral.